This 76-nucleotide transfer RNA is filed under the name Candidatus Saccharimonadota bacterium. Its description in RNAcentral is "tRNA-Pro". It matches the Rfam family "tRNA". From Rfam's summary of the family: Transfer RNA (tRNA) molecules are approximately 80 nucleotides in length. Lineage: Bacteria; Candidatus Saccharimonadota. The record is from RNAcentral.
CAGGGUGUGGCGCAGUUGGUAGCGCGUACGACUGGGGGUCGUGAGGUCGCUGGUUCAAGUCCAGUCACCCUGACCA